RNAcentral lists this long non-coding RNA (12669 nucleotides) under Malus domestica (apple). Its description in RNAcentral is "long non-coding RNA (MDOM_LNC001282)". The record is from RNAcentral. Lineage: Eukaryota; Viridiplantae; Streptophyta; Magnoliopsida; Rosales; Rosaceae.
CAGCAAAUUAAGACACAUGUAGUAUCUAAAUUAAAAGAACAAAAUAUUUGAGAAACUUCUGGCACCACCACAGAGAACAAAUUGUCCUCUCUUGGCACUGCCAACAAGUAUAUUACCAUCUCUUGUAGAAUCUGCAGCAUUUUGCUAUUCUACUGCAGAUUCAGAAGACUGCUGAUCAGUAUGGAGAUUGGCAGGGUGACGAUCUCUAGACGCUGGAGUUCCUCGUUCACUACUUACAUUCCUUGAAGCUACAUGCUGAAACCUUCCAAGCAGUGGAUAGUAUAACCCUUUCGAAAUACCAGAAGAAUCUGAUGGUUGGCGACUGAGGGAAGCAGGGACUGUUGCAACCAUGGUCCUCAUUGGCACUAUCCUUACAGCCGGAUCUCGAGCAAAAGCUGAACCACCUGGGACCCUUGAAGUGGCUUGAUUAGUAGGAUCUUCACCACCAGAACUUGUUGCUGGGUUUCUUUGCCCUGACGGCUGAUGAUGUUGAGCUAGGAUAACACCAAACCAAUUGGAACCAACUCAAGGUAAUCCACAGGAAAUAUAUCAAAUGAAAUGCAAGAACAAAAUAUUAAAGACACCAAGAUUUUAACGAGGUUUCUUAACAGUUAGUGUAACUGGAGUACAUCCUCGGAGCAGUAAGAGCUCACCCAAUAAUUCACUAUCAACCAAAUGAGAGUUUACAAAGUGUUGGCAAGCUCACAACCCAAAAAACCCCAAUACAACCAAUAACUCUCACACACCAAAGAAACAAAUAGAGAAAGAAAUAUAGUAAUUAAUUUCUUCUCUAUACAAAGCUCAAAGCUAUUACAACAACAACUAUCUUGGUGGAUGAUUACUAACCAAAGAGAUGAGCACUUUCUUCUUCUCUUCAAAGAGGGAAUGCUGCACUUCUAUUUUUUCUUUUCUGUUUUUCUGGUGCACUCUACAACUACAAUCAGAAAAUGCUCUCUAUUUUCUACACCUUUUACAACUCCCCUUCCAUUUCUCUCAUUUCAGGCUAAAUAAAAAUUCAAGGGUAAAAGACUGUUUACCACCCUCAUGUUUCGUGGUUUUCAACAUUUAGUACAUCAAGUUUUUUUCGUCCCAGAGUCAUACCUAAAGUGUAAAUUUUGGGACAGUCUCAUACAUCUGUUAGUUCUCCCGUUAAGUGAUGACGUGGCGCCCUGAUUGGACGCCACGUGUCAUUAAAAAAAUAAAAAAUUUAUUUAAAUAAAAAUAAUAUUAAAAAAUAUUUAAAUAAAUAUUUAAAUAAUAAAAUAUUUUUUUUUUCCUUCUUCUCUUCUUCUUCUUCUUCUUUUUUUUUUUUCUUCUUUUUUUUUUUUUUCUUUUUUUUUCUUUUCUUCUUCUUCUGGUUCGGUUCGGUUCUCUUUUUUUUUUUUUUUUUUUUUUUUUUUUUUUUUUUUUUUUUUUCUUUUUCAUCCUCCUUCUCCUUCUCCUUUCUCCUCCUUCUUCUUCUUCCUUCUCCUUCCUCCUCAUUCUUCUUCUCCUUCUUCUUCCUUCUUAAGAAGGAAGGAGGAGAAGGAAAAAAAACAGAAAAAAAAAAAAAAAAAAAAACCGAACCCAGAAAAGAAGAGGAAGAAGAAGGAAGAAGAAGGAGAAGAAGAAGGAGGAGGAAGGAGAAGGAAGAAGAAGGAGGAGGAAGAAGGAAAAAAAAAAAAAAGAGAAACCGAAGCCAGAAGAAGAAGAAGGAGAAGAAGAAGGAGGAGGAAAGAGGAGGAAGAAGAAGGAGAAGAAAAAAAAAAAAAAAAGAGAAACCGAACCCAGAAGAAGAAGAAGAAGGAGAAGAAGAAGGAGGAGGAAGGAGAAGGAAGAAGAAGGAGGAGGAGGAGGAAGAAGAAAAAAAAAAAAAAAAAAAAAACCUAACCCAGAAGAAGAAGAAAAAAAAAAUAUUUUAUUAUUAUUUUAAUAUUUUAAUAUUUUAAUAUUUUAAUAUUUUAAUAUUUUAAUAUUUUAAUAUUUUUUAAUAUUAUUUUUAUUUAAAUAAAUUUUUUAUUUUUUUAAUGACACGUGGCGUCCAAUCAGAGCGCCACGUCAUCACUUAACGGGAGAACUAACAGUUUGACUAACAGAUGUAUGAGACUGUCCCAAAAUUUACACUUUAGGUAUGACUCUGGGACGAAAAAAACUUGAUGUACUAAAUGUUGAAAACCACGAAACAUAAGGGUGGUAAACAGUCUUUUACCCAAAAUUCAAAGUAAAGGAAUAAUCAUUUCUCUACAAACAUCAUCAUGACCUUCUUUUUUCUUUUCAACAAACAUAAUCAUUUGUCUCCUCAUAAUGAUGUUCCCACAUUAUUAUGUCCUUCAUUUUUAUUAUAUGCACCGAAAGGUUUUUGGCCACUUGGCCAAUAAUUCAACAAUCUCCACCUUGGCCAAGUUCCGAAAAUGUCAUGAUAAACCAAAACCAGUGUCUUAAAUGCCGAUAAUGUCGGUGAUAUUUCGCCGAUAUUAUCGGUUUUUAGCGAGACCGAUAUUUUAAUGGUUAUCCAAUUGGUUUUCGUCAAAAUAUCGUGAUAUUUUGAUAUUAUCGCGGAAUUUCAGAACUGUGCAAAUCGAAGAAGAACGCGGGAGCUUCUACAGCUCCGGCCAACUGUAAAAGAGCCCACUAGACUCCGAUCUAGGUAUGAAAAUGAAAUAGAAGACGAGAGGAACGUCUUUAUAACGUCCGUUUGCCGUGAAACGGUCGGAGGUGUUCGGAAAGUUCGUCGAUACCCACGGCCUCGCCGGAGAUGGGUGUGCCUAUUCCCGAGCUGAUUUCAUCCCAAAAACCUUGCAAAAACACGAGAUAGAACUUCAAUUUCACAUUUAAGCUUCGAUCUAGAACAAAAAAAGAAAAACCCGAAGCUUACCUAACCGGAGAAAUUGAAGAAACUCACCAGAUCAGGUGCGAUGGUGUGCGUGUGGGUCUCGGUGCAGAGAGAAAUGAGAGGUGUAUGUGGGUCUCAAUGCAGAGAGAAAAGAGAGGGAGGAGCAGAAGGUCGUGGUGUGUGUGUGUGUGGGAGAAGGGAGAAGAGAGAUCGAGAGAUCUCUGUGUGUGUGUGGGGGAGUGGAUAAUGGAGAGAAUAGAGAAGGAUCAAGAGAGAUAGACAUAGGUCUCUGUGUGUCUACAUGUGUGAUGUUUGUGUGCGUGCGUGUGUAGUUGCGUGCGUUGUGUGUGUGUGUGGGGUUCUUCCUGUCAAGACUCAGGACACACUCAGGAACUUCUGACAACUUUUACAAUUAUUUUGACAAUUUCAGACCAUGGACAAAAAUAAUAGUGAUUUCUUUGAAAAGAAUCUAAAUAAUUCAAAGCGUAGACAACUUUUACAAUUAUAACUUGUACAAUUUCAGACCAUGGAUGGUGGUUUCAUUCAAAACCGUGUGCCACUGUGAUAUUCUUUCAAGAGGUGGAGUAUUAGAGCCAUUCAGAGCAUUUUCGUUUCUUCUUCUUCCCUUACCCCUUUUAAAGUCAUUCUAGAUCCAUUCCAGAGCUUGAACACAAAGAGUUCCAUAUUUAAAGUAAGUUUACAAACUUAUAUUUAUAUUAUUGUAAUUUAUACAACAACAACAAAAUUUGUGUGGACUCGUAUGUUAAUUUUUUUAAGUAAUUAAUACUUGCAUGUUAGUUUUUGUAAGUAAUUAAGUAAUGUUAACAAUUACAUGUUAAUUUUUUUAAGUAAUUAAUACUUACAUGUUAGUUUUUGUAAGUAAUUAAGUAAUGUUAACAAUUACAUGUUAAUUUUUUUAAAUAAUUAAGUAAUGUUGUAUAAUUAUUCCCUAGGAUAAUUUUAAUAUGUUUAAUGUUAUUUAUUAUUUUAUUAAUAUUAGGUUUUAUUAUCAAAUUGGAUUAUUAUUCAUUAAUAUUAGGUUUUUUUUUAUUAUCAAAUUGGAUUAUUAUUCAUUAAUAUUAGGUUUUUUUUAUUAUCAAAUUGGAUUAUUAUUCAUUAAAUUGGAUUAUUAUCAAAUUGGAUUAUUCAUUAAAUUGGAUUAUUAUUAAAUUGGAUUAUUAUCAAAUUGGAUUAUUAUUCAUCACUAUGUUUUAUAUUAGGAUUAUUUUUUUAUCAAAUUGGAUUAUUAUUCAUUAAUAUUAGGUUUUAUUAUUCCAUAUUAUUUUUAUAAUUACUUAAAUUUUUACAAUCAUUUUCUUUACUUCGUAUUUAAUUCUUCUGUAGAAUAACUUUAUUAUGUAAGUUCUCUUAUAUAAUCGUCAUCACUACUAUAUUUUUUGGCCAAAAAAUAAUUGUCUAAUUUUCAUGCAAAAUAAAUAUAGGUACGUUUAAGAUGUCCAGUGGAGUUACUAGACGUGAUCCAGCUUGGGAACAUGGAGACCCAAUAGACGGAAACAAACAUGGCACAAUUUGCAAAUAUUGUGGUCAGGUAAUGAAGAGUGGCGGAGUGACACGGCUUAAGUACCAUCUUAGUGGAUUAGAUCCAGCAAAAAAUGUCCAACGAUGCGAUAAUGUCCCCCCCAGAAGUGAAGGCAUUCAUCAGCACAUUAUUAAAAAAUAAAAAACAGCAGAAGGAAAAUAUAACACAUGGAAUGGAAAAUAUUCGAGCUGGGCUACGAGGAGAAGUCAUUGGCCAAGCGGUUGACAGUGAUGAUGAUGACGAUGAGGACGAAUGUGAUGAUGACAUGGGACCUGAAGAACGACGCAGUUUGAAACAAGCAUUACGUGCCUCCAAACAGUCAGCAAGGUUCUGGGACAAGUGGUGGUGCACAAAUAAGACGGGGGGGGGGGGGGCAGUCUUAGAGAAUCACAACCAACACCACCAAUAGCCCUAAGUUUAUAUAAGCCCUCCAAAACACAUCAAAAGAGUGUUUGGAGUUAUUUCACUGGAGGGAAUGGGGCAUCUAAUUAGCAAGUUCUUUAUCUAUAAAAAUGUCUCUGCUGAGAAAGCAUCAUCACAUCAUUUCAAAAAUAUGGUAGUGGGAUGUCAACAGGCCGGUGUUGGAGUACAACCUCCCACUCCCUAUGAGAUAAGAAACAAAUAUUUGGAUAUGGAGUAUAAAGACAUUGGCGAGUAUGUUAACAAGUUGAGGUCAAAGUGGGAAACUAAUGGUUGCACAAUCAUGUGUGACGGAUGGACUGGCCCGACCAGAUUGUCUAUCAUAAACUUCAUGGUAUACUCUAAGGGAAAGACAAUUUUUUUGAAGUCUGUUGAUGCUUCAGACCAUAUAAAGAACUACAAGUAUAUUUACAAAUUAUUGAGGGAUGUAAUCAUGGAGGUGGAAGAGCAUAAUGUUGUCCAAGUCGUGACCGACAACGGUUCUGCAUUUGUCAAAGCUGGAAAAAAGUUAAUGAAGCAUCAUAAUGUGUUUUGGACAUCAUGUACAGCACAUUGUAUUGAUCUCAUGUUUGAGGCAAUGGGGAAGAGAGAGAAUGUUGCUACUGUGGUAAAAAGAGCUAGAACGAUCACAAAUUAUAUUUAUAAUCACGGUUGGUUGUUGGCAAAGAUGCGUGAAUUUUGCAAAGGAGAAAUUAUUCGUCCAACUACCACUCGAUUCGCCACCAACUAUAUUGCAUUAGACAGCCUACUUAAGAAGAAAGCAAGGUUGAAGCAACUAUUCACUAGUGACGAUUGGGCCAACCACAAUUUUAGCCGCUCAAAUGCAGGUCGUAUGGUGGAAAGUAUAGUGCUUGAUGAUCAUGCUUUUUUGGACUCAAUCAGAACAUGUGUGCCAAGUGUUUGAACCUCUUUACAAAGUUUUACGGAUCGUUGACACAGAAGUGUAUCCUACUAUGGGAGCAAUAUAUGAGUUGAUGCGUGUAGUGAAGGAUGAAUUGGAAAGAAAACAUGGUGCAAGGUGGGUCAUAAAGAUAAUUGAAGACCGAUGGUAUAAAACAUUAUACCACGAUUUGCAUGCAGCAGGUAUAAAUUAUGUCAUAAUUUGCAAUUCAUUUCUUUAGUUGCAUAAGUAUUAUUUCUCUUAUUAGAGUAUGUGUUUCUUUGAACAACAUAUUAUUUGAAUCCUCGAUACCAAUACAGACCCGGUGUUGGAGAUGAUGGUACUCUUAUACGUGUUGUACAUAAUGUAUACUCUAAAUUAGACCCUGCAUCACCAGCAGUUGGCCAAUUUGGAAAUGAGGUACACAAUUACUUAAAUUAUAAUAAUUACUUUGUUGGAUUAAACUAACAUGAUUUAUUGAAUUCAGCUAACAUGGUUUAAAGAUGCAAAAAGAACUUUUGGAGAACCAACAUCAGUUGCUGCUGGAACAAAAAUGUCUCCUGGUGAGUGUAAACAUAUUUCACGAUAAGUUUAUAAUAGAAUUUGUUGGAGUUAUUAGGCUUAUCAAUAUUGUUUUUCAUUGUAGCUGAAUGGUGGAUCAUGUAUGAGACCGAUGCACCAACUGUGAGAAAGUUAGCAAUCAAAGUAUUAUCACAAACAGCUUCCUCAUCUGCUUGUGAAAGAAAUUGGAGCACAUUUGCACUCAUACACACAAAGCAAAGAAAUAGGUUGGCUCAUGGUAGGUUGGAAAAAUUAGUUUAUUGCUACUACAACAUGAAGCUUCAAAUUCGAGAUAAGGAAGCAGAAAUAGAUCAUGUCGACCGUGGUGACCUACUAGAUGUGUUUGAUAUUGUUGCUGAAGAUGAUGAUACAUAGGGUAACCAACUUUAUCAAUGGAUUAGACCUCUUCAUUUAGAUGAUGAUGAAGGCAACCCAGCUCCCAGAGUUGCUGAAGAAGCACGUAAUAAAGGGAUAAAUGUAGAAAGAGUAUUAGCGGAGGAGGUGCGAUCUAGCAGCGCUGACUCUUUGGAAGAACUUUUACACCCAAGACCAAGACACUGGAAUUCCACCUUCUUCCAAUCCUACACAACCACAACAUCGUGCUGAUACUAAUGAUAGCUCUAGUACAAGAUCAAGAGGAGACUCACCUACCAUCAGAGGUGGGAAUGAUGAAGGAUAUAGUGGAGCUGGAGGUAGUGGUGGUGGAUAUGGAAACUAUGUUGAACCACAUCCCGGAUUUAUGAGCCCCUUCAUUGGUAAGGCAAACUUUACGCAUGCAACACAGGAUGAGGACCAUGGCAGUAGGCGAGCAGGACCAGGAAUUUAUGCCAUAGGGAAGGACUAUACUCGUAGAGAAAGAUGCAAGGGGAUUUUGUCAAGUCAAGAAGAUGACUUGUUAUCUAUAACUUCGGACUAUGUUGGAUUGGGAAGUAGUAACUAUGGUUAUACUCAUAACCAACCAUUUCCCUACCCUUCAUAUCCGAUUCCUGUUGGGAUGGAAUCGAGUGACUCAUGGAAACAAUUCAAGACUCAAUCUUCAAAUGAUUUUACUUAUGGACAAGGUCAACCAAUCUCGGAUCCAUAUAGAUGGCAUGUUAACAAUUACAUGCAAAACUAUUUUGGGGAUUUAUCAUUUGAUAACUACUCUUCACAAUACACUCACUCUACACAUAAAGAUGAUGAAGAUAGUGAAAAAUUUGAACCUCAUAGGAACUCAAUGUGGUACUAAGUCACUCAUGUAUCUUACCAUGCAAUGUAUAAAGUGUAAAAUAUUGUACUAAUUCAUUAUAUAUAAAUUAUUAUGGUGUGUUUAAACUUCUUUCAUUAAUUACUACAUAUUUUCUACAUUCACAAUGUUUGCCAGCUCGCUAUAUAAUCAACUUGAUAAUGUUAAAUCCAUCAUGCAAUGAAUUUCCUUCCAAUUUUUUUGGGAUAAACUAAUAGAUAAUUGACUAAAUAAACAUCCUGCAAAGUUUCAAUAAAAAUUUCCAAGUUUUUCUUACAAUUUCCGUGGUUUCCAUAUUAUUUUUAUCGAUAUCGAUAUUAUCCCGAUAUUUCCAUCGAUAUUUCCGUGUUUUCGGACUACCGAUAUUUCCGAUAUUAUCGAUAUUUAAUACCUUGACCAAAACAACAUAAUCAACAAAAAUUACUCCCAAACACUAGCAAGAGAACAACUCAUGUCGAGCCAAAUGCUCCAAAACUCCUACUGCUCAAUGCCUUCUUUAUAUAGGCAAAAUGUGAGCCAAGUUUAAGUAAUGAACAAACUUGGCUACACCAACAACCUUAGUCAACAUAUCAGCGGGGUUGUCUUUAGUUGGAAUCUUCUGGAGAAUGAUCUCUCUUUCACCAACGACUUCAUGCACAAAGUGAUAUCGCACAUCUAUGUGCUUGGUUCUUGCAUGAUGAAUCUGAUACUUAGCCAAAUAAAUGGCACUCUGACUGUCACAAUGUACCUCCACCUGCUUUUGGUCAACCCCCAAAUCUCUAAUCAGCCCAUGUAUCCAAAUGGCCUCCUUUAUAGCUUCAGCAACUGCCGCCUCUGUAGUAGACAAGGAAACAGACGACUGCAAAAUGGACCUCCAACAAACUAGUCCUUUAGCCAUAGUAAACACAUAGCCUGUAGUAGACUUCCUUCCAUCCAGAUCACAUGCAUAAUCUGAAUCAACAUAACCAACUGCAAAAUGACCAAUACCAUAGUCAUCUCUCUCAAAGCAUAAACCAACAUCUGGAGUACCAUGGAGAUACCUCAAUAUCCACUUAGCUGCUUGCCAAUGCUCUUUACCUGGGUUAUGCAUAUAUCGACUCACCAUGCUAACUGUAUGAGCAAUAUCUGGUCUAGAGCAUAUCAUUACAUACAUCAAACUACCAACCAAAUUUGCAUAUGGUAUAUUUUUCAUUUGCAGCUUCUCUUUAUCAGUUUUAGGACAUUGUAGAGAACUCAAUUUAAAAUGAGGAGCCAAAUGGGUACUAACCAGUUUGGUUGAAUCAUGAACUCCAAACUUUCGAAUCAACUUCUCAAGGUAUUGUCUUUGAUUCAAACUGAUCAAACCCUUUUCUCUAUCUCUAGUGAUCUCCAUGCUAAGGAUCUUCUUCGCUUCACCAAGAUCCUUCAUCUUAAACUCAUUCUUCAUUUGCUUAUUCAAUUUCUCAAUCUCUUCGACAUUCUUUGAGGCAAUCAAUAUAUCAUCAACAUAUAUCAACAAAUAAAUGAAAGACCCAUCUUGCAACUUCUUGAAAUACACACAAUGAUCAUAUUGACUUCUAGAAUAUUUUUGGCUUCUUAUAAAUUUAUCAAACCUCAAAUACCAUUGCCUUGGAGAUUGCUUCAAGCCAUAAAGUGAUUUCUUCAAAUUGCAAAACAAAUUCUCCUUCCCUUUCACUGUAUACCCAUCCAGUUGACACAUAUAGAUCUCUUCAUUCAAAUCACCAUGUAAGAAAGCCGUCUUCACAUCAAGUUGCACAAGCUCAAGAUCAUAUUGUGCAACAAGAGCUAACAUAAUGCGAAUUGAAGAGUGCUUCACAACCGGUGAAAAGAUUUCAUUGUAGUCAAUGCCCUUCUUUUGUGCAUAUCCUUUAGCAACUAAUCUUGCUUUGAAUCUCACAUUGCUUUUCUCAUCAGCAUCUUCCUUCUUGGCAUACACCCAUUUGCAACCGAUAACUUUCUUGCCCUUAGGCAAUUUAGCUAACUCCCAAGUCUUGUUCUUCAAGAGAGAAUUCAUCUCAUCAACCAUGGCAUUGCACUACCUCCCCUUCUCCUCACUCUCAAUGGCUUCCUCGAAAUUGGAUGGAAUAUCAUCAAUGAUAAUAGGAAGAGUAAAAGCAACAUAGUCACUAUACCGAGCUGGCUUAGUAAUUUGUCUCUUUCCUCUGUUCUUGGCAAUAGACUCUUGAGGUGAAACUUGCUCUUCAACUUGAAUAGAAUCUUCAAGUUCAACUUCUUUAACAUCCUCAUGGUCUCUAACUUCUUCACUUGUAGUGGCUUCGACAUCAGCGGAAAUAGGAUUUGAAGUACCAGAGGCAACUUUCUCAAGCUCCACCUGUUUAACAUCUUUCACAUUCUUCUCAGAGUCUUUGUACAUACUUUAUUCAUCAAAUGUCACAUCUCUACUGAUUACAAGUUUCUUCAUCUCUGGGCACCACAACCUGUAACCUUUAACACCACUACUAAAACCAAGAAAGAUAGCCUUUUUGGCUCUAGGAUCAAUUUUAUUUUCAGUUACAUGAAAAUAAGCAGGCGAACCAAAAAUAUGAAUAUAAUCAUAAUCAGUAGAAGGUUUCCCAGUCCAUACCUCCAUUGGUGUCUUACCCUGAACAGCAGUUGAGGGUAACCGAUUGAUGAUGUGACAUGCAUAAUUAACUGCCUCUGCCCAAAAUGACUUGCUUAAACUCGACUAAGACAACAUACAUCUAACCUUCUCAAGCAAGGUUCGAUUCAAUCUUUCUGCAACUCCAUUUUGUUGUGGAGUUCCUUGGACACUAAAAUGUCUCACAAUCCUUUCCUCUUUGCAAACUUUAAAGAAAGGGUCAGAUUUGUAUUUACCACCAUUAUCCGAUCUCAAAAUCUUAAUCUUUCUCCCAGUCUGGUUCUCAACCAUUUUCUUCCAACUUAAGAAAAUGCUCAAUACCUCACUUUUGUGCUUCAUAGUGUGGACUCAAGACCUUCUUGAAUAAUCAUCAACGAAUGUCACGAACCAAUGUCUACCACUCAAAGAGGGAGUCUUUGUAGGACCCCAAACAUUCGAAUGCACAUAAUCAAGAAUGUCUUUCGUCUGAUGUACUGCAGUACCAAACUUCACUCUAGUUUUCUUUUCCAAGACACAAUGCUCGCAAAAAUCAAGCUCACAAGUCAUGGCACAUUUUAGAAGACCUUUUUUCACAAGCCCUUGUAGAGCUUUCUCACCGGCAUGGCCUAAUCUCAUAUGCCACAGUCUAGUAGUAUCUGAAUCAGAUGAGCCCAUAUUUUCUGAGACUACAGACGCUUCACCUGUCACGGUGCUUCCUUGUAAUAGAUACAAAUGACCACAUUGAUGAGCUUUCAUCACAACAAGUGCACCAUAAGUAACUUUCAAUGUCUGCCCAUCUGAAUGAAACAUGAGGCCCUUGGAUUCUAAAGUGCCCAAAGAAAUAAGAUUUUUCUUCAAAUUCGGUACAUACCGAACACCUGUCAACUCUUUAACCAUGCCAUCAUGCAACUUCAAACGAACUGUACCAAUCCCUUUUGUUGUACAAGGGAUUGUCAUCUUCCAUGAACACAACACCACCAUCAAACUCUUUCAAGCUUGAAAACCAAUCCUUAUGAGGAGUCAUUUGAUGAGUACAACCCGUAUCCAACACCCAUUUAGUAGCACAAUCAAAUGAUGAGGAAGUGGUUAAAGCAAAAUAAAAAAAAUCUGUUUCAACCUCAGCAACAUUGGCUUCAGAACUUUCUUUUCCUUUGGUCUUCAACCUAUGACAAUCUUUCUUCCAAUGACCCUUAUUAUGACAAAAGGCACAUUCAUCCUUUUCUAAGGUUUUUCUACCUUUAGAGUUUCCUCUAGGUCGAGAGUGAUUUUUUCUUACUAGAAGAGGAUCUCCUCUCCGAUGAUCUAUCUCUGACAAAUAAAACUUCAGAGGUACUAUCAUGAUUUUUAUCUAUAUGCCACAUUUCAUAAUUCAUCAAAGCAUUUGACACAUCUUCAAAUUUCACAGUUUCUUUACCAUGCAUAAUAGUGGUAACAAAAUGCUCAUAAGAGUCCGGCAAAGAAUUCAACAAUAUUAAGGCCUUAUCUUCAUCUUUAAUAUCCUCAUCUAAAUUUAGCAAGUCGGCAAUCAACUUAGUAAAAGCAUCAAGGUGUCUAAUCAUUUUUGUACCUUCUUUGUAUUGGAAGCGGUAGAGCUUUUUCUUCAAGUGUAGCCGGUUCUCUGUCUCCCGCAUCACAAAAUAUUUCUAAGUUUUUGCAAGGCACAACCGAUUGAAGAGCAAGCCGACAAAUUUAAUUUCUCCCAUUCCGGCUUCGACAUAGCUUCCGGCUUCUCUCAUAAAGCAGCAAGUAGAUCUUGUUGAGCCAACACAUAUUUGACCUCACAUUGCCAAUUGUUUGUGCCAUCAAAAUUUUCUACUUCGAACUUUGCAUUUUGCACUGUAUUUCUUGCAAACCCAGAGCUGCUUCCAAAAGGAUUCUCAUCUUGCCCGUCUGACAUCUUUGGCAACUAGACAGUACCCAAGAGCAACCAGUGCUCUUAUACCAAUUAUUGUGCUAGGAUAUCACCACACCAAUUAUAACCAACUCAAGCUAACCCACAGGAAAUAUAUCAAAUGAAAUGCAAGAACAAAAUAUUAAAGACACCAAGAUUUUAACGAGGUUCCUCAACAGUCAGUGUAACUGGAGUACAUCCUCAGAGCAGUAGGAUCUCACCCAAUAAUUCACUAUAAACCAAAUGGAAGUUUACAAAGUGUUGGCAAGCUCACAACUCAAAAAAUCCCAAUACAACCAAUAGCUCUCACACACCAAAAAAACAAAUAGAGAAAGAAAUAUAGUAAUUAAUUUCUUCUCUAUACAAAGCUCAAAGCUAUUAUAACAACAAUUAUCUUGGUCGAUGAUUACUAACCAAAGAGAGGAGCAUUUUCUUCUUCUCUUCAAAGAGGGGCUGCAACACUUUUAUUUUUUCUUUUCUGUUUUUCUGGUGCACUCUACAACUACAAUCAGAAAAUGCUCUCUAUUUUCUACACCUUUUACAACUCCCUUUCUGUUUCUCUCAUUUCCAAAGGCUAAAUAAAAAAUUCAAAGUAAAGGAAUAAUCAUUCCUCUACAAACAUCAUCAUGACCUUCUUUUUUCUUUUCAACAAACAUAAUCAUUUGUCUCCUCAUAAUGAUGUUUCCACAUCAUUAUGUCCUUCAUUUUUAUUAUAUGCACUGAAAGGUUUUUGGCCACUUGGCCACUAAUUCAACAGAUGAGUCUCCCCAUUUUCCUCUCGAG